Molecule: non-coding RNA, 14369 nt
Organism: Phasianus colchicus (ring-necked pheasant)
Lineage: Eukaryota; Metazoa; Chordata; Aves; Galliformes; Phasianidae
Source: RefSeq, a predicted model, not a curated record
GGUUGGCCGCGAGCUCCCGCCCGGCCCCCGCCGCGCCCCGCCCGCCCCGCGAGUGGCGCCCUGGCGGCGGAAAGAGGCGCGGAGCGACGGGAAGGCGUUUGCGGAUGGCUUGACUGGGAUUACCAGUAUGGAGACGCUCAGAAAAAUGAAACGGAAAAAAGAACCAGCAUAACUUGAAAAACUGUCAUCAAACACAUGCUCUACACAUUCUGAAAUAAAGGAAAUUACACCAAGUGCUGUCGUUUCCAAAGCAGUUGUUUUCAGAGUCACAGGCAGGUUGUGGCAUAGUGCCAGCAGCAGAGAAAAACCACUGCAAGAACAAAAGCAGAAUGAAAAUAAUCUGCAUCGUGAGAUGACAGGGGAAGGGCUGGAAGCAGAUGGAUUGUUGGAGCUGGACUGUGUUACACAGGCUUGCUGCUGCAGUGGAGGACAGGGCUAUGGAUUACCUGGAAAUUGGCAGCUCUUAUCCUGAGACAGGAGUGAUAGGAGAUGCAAGUGCUGAAAUAAGUGGGGGUAUACAAAAAACCAAAAACUGCUACACAUUCAUUCCAGAAUUGUGGUUUUAAAUUUGCCAACUUUUUCAAGUUAAAAAGAGAAGGGAACGUUUUUAUUCUUCUUAAGGGAACUACCUGUAAUCUCAUGGGAGCUGAUCUCACAUGAGCUGUGUGGGAGAAUCCCCUCUCAGUCUUCUUCCAGCCCCAAAAGGACCAAUGGAGUGGGGAAGAGGUGGCUGACCCUGUGUGUUAAUCACAGCUGGACACUGCACAAACCUGGCUGUGCCGUGCCACCAUCCUUUGUGCCGGCCCUACUGGCGAUAGCAGGCUAUUAAAUUAAUUUGGUGGUAAGGCCUUUUUGUUUUUGACAGCUUGCCAGUUUUCUAAAUAAAAGACUUGAAUUUAUAUAAGCCUUCCUUUGUUCCUCGGUAAUACACCCAAGCCCUCUCAGUUCAAAAUCUAAGCCAGUUAUUGACAUAAUUACAAAUCAAAAUGCUGGAAGAGGUGAUAACGUAGACAUGUUUUAUUUCCAAAUUCAUUUUGAGUAAAAGGAUUGUUUGUUGUUUUGUUUUUUUUUCCAAAUCACUGAACGGAACAGUUGGAGUAACGUAAAAUCAGGAGGACACAGCAGGACAGGAAAAGAAAUGGUUUUUCUGAAGCAUUGUCCUGUUACUGCUGUGAGAGAAACACUAAGAAAAUGGGACUGUACUCCAACUGAGAUGGCAGGCAGCCAGCAAAGAGCUUCAGCCCUUAUGGAAAAUUUAUGCUUACACAGAGCUCAAAAUAGUUUUUCUUGUAGAGAAAAAUGGUACUCGCUCAUCUGUUUUUAUGGCUGCUAAUAAAACACUGACCUUCUCUUACCCUUUUCAUUCAAAGUAGUUUAUUUAAAAAAAAUAUCCACCACACAGUUUAAACAUUAUUUCCAUCAGUUUCUUCUGCAACGCUCCGUUGGUUGUUCUGAACGGGUCCCCAUUUUCACUACUCUGACACCAGUGGUCUUUCAGAAAGUGGGAGCUGUGGACCUACAUGCUGCAAAGAGUCCAGGAUAAAUGACUUAAGAACGCAAGAAUGCAGUUUUAAUUACAUUCGUACUCCAAUUAACGUUUUGAGGUUGGAGCCCGAGUCCUUUACGGCUUGAUCCGUGAAUAAGGAUCCUGUUUGGGAUGAAUGGUCCCUGUUUUAAUCCCCUUUCACUGGGGCAGAGCUGUAACACACCCAGGCAGAGCCACAUAAUUUCUAAACAGAGCCCAGCCUACAGUGAGGGUGGCUGUUUGUCUGUCAGAAAUAAACUGACUGCCAAGAGGGAAAAGGAGUAUCAGGGAACCUAAGGAGUCUGUGUUAAGCACCAGUUUCACCAUCAGUUGCAAAAUAACUGCAACUCUGCAGAGCUCCUUGCUUUCAGAGGAAACCCACCCACCUCUGGCCAUUAUUGAGAGGUGUGUUCAUCAGAGAACUGCGGCCAACAUUUUCUCUUCCUGGGUUCUUUCACUCUAAGAGCAUUCACGCUAAGACUAGGAAGACACACACUUGAGAACAGUGCAUCAAAAAAUAUUUGAAAUAAUGUACAGAAUAUAAGGCAAGAAAACUAUUUCACGAGGUGUCAAAGCCAGGAGGAAGCCUGCAGCUUGCUUAUUUAGCAAGAAAAAGGGAAAGAAGCAACUGCCAUCUGUCAGAUGUGACAGAUAGGGGAUAAGCAACAAACAUGGAUGUGGAAUAGGACAAGCAAGUGAAUCAGACGUAACAACAGCGCUCAUCUAUCCAAGGCCUCAUCAGUCCAACAAGUGUUUAGAAGCAGUAGUUUCAGAAGAUCUCAUUAAAUGUGUUACCCUCUCAACUACUCAGAGCUGCAACGGACUGAAAGCUAUUUUAAAUCGACCAAUUCACUACACUCCCUCACAAAAUGCAUAUUUAAAGUACAGGCUUUACAAACCAAAGAACUGCCCAACUCCUCCUCUUUCAGGAGGUGCCUAAAUCUCAAAACCAAAUGCCAAACAAAAGCCACCAAAGAAGAAACAUGCACUUCUUCACCGGCAAAUGGAGCUGUAAGCAGAGAAGCUUGAUCACGCCUCUAGAUGGCAGGAGGGGCCUGUCACACUGCCUGCGAGCUUCUGCACCUUUUCUACCGUGUUCCGUGGGGCUGAGCACCCAGGGGCUCUCCUUCCUUAGAAGUGUCAGCGCUGCUCUGAAAGUCAGCUUUUGGAUCUCCUAAGAGGAAAACCGGUGGGUAGUUCAGUGCCACUGCUAAACUUGCUUCCUCUCACAUGCUGCAGUCAGUCGCCUUGCCUCUUGCUUGGCAAACUCCUGCGCAGCAGCAGCUCUCUCAAACGACACAAACAAGCAUCAACUCCAAUUUUUUCACUGUGGUUGGAGCAAUGCAUUGUUAGCCAAAAUGCAUUCAGAAAGUCACGCGGAGCAUGUCAUGUUUUAACUGCUUUCAGCUAUGCCAAACCCUCUGUUGGUAGCGCUAUGUGUGCAGACUGCAUCUCUUUGAAAACCACUUUCAAAUGGAGUGUUUCUCCCUUCCCCAAAUAGAACAGGGGCCAAGAAGUUCACUUUCCAUAACCUAUUCGAGUACUGCUCUCCCAGAUAGUUCUUACAUUGCUUUCAAUUCCAUGUGGAGGCAAAUAUUAAAAAACAAAGCCUUUCCCAGAUCACUAACGUUCCUCUGUUGGCAAAGAGCUGAAGCCCAGUGGAGCGCUCAGUGGCACCAGGUGAAACUAGUUCAGUUUGCAGAGAUACCAUGGGGAAUUCUGCUGUUCCACUGCCUAUGCUGCAAAGCCUGCAGCAGAGCACCUGCACAAGAACUCAACUGCAACCACACCAGUUCCUGCAGUCCAGAAGAGUCCUUCUGACUGUAGCUCAAGAGCCCGUGGAAUUGACUGCUUUACAUUUCCCUGCUAACCCAUACAAGUACCUCUCUGCUCCCACUCUCCUAAGAAAUCCUACCAAUGUUGUUGGCUCAGUCAGUACAAACUGUGCUCAGAAACUGCUUUAUUCUCAUGGACCAGGUGGUUUUGCCUUUGUGGUUUCUUUUUAAAACCCAUUUCACCUUCAGACUAUCAUGUAGAUACAGUUAGCUCUCUUUUUCUGAGGCCAGUCUGCCUGCAACAACAAGCAGCAGACAGGAGGCUUCUGCAUCAGUUCCACUCUGCUGCAUAGCGAUGAGGGAAGAAGCAAGGAGAAUGACCUGCUGAAGCCUGGACUUGAGCAGAAUCUUUCCCUCCAGCUCACUCAGGCUCUGGGCCUUGCCAUCUGUAGCAGGUGCUGCAGAAGACACCAAAAGCCAGGCAGCAAGGUUCUUGCAAGUAGAAUUCAGCAAGGAAGUUCUCCUAGCACAUGCUGCUGAAUUAUUUAUUUCCUUGUCUCUGCUCAAGGGGUGCUACUUUCCCAGACUGCUUUACGUGGAUGGAAAACAUAUUAAGACUGCUUACCUUCCUCAUUCUUCUGAUACCACUUCCAAUCAGAGCUCGAUGAUCUGGCGUCGUCAGAUGACCAAUCCUUGAAUGCUUCCACUAUGAAUUCAUCCAUAUAUUACUGAACCCAACUCUGUUAAUCUUCAAGAGUACACACCCUACGUAUUUGUGGAUGAGAUGUUUGCAACAAGGUACUUCAAAAUAGUUACCAACACUUUUCCCUGUGCUCCCCACCCCAAGCCGAGCUUGGAGUCCCUACAGUCCCCCCAGCCACAGCCCAGCACUCCUUCCACCCAUCCCAACCUUCACCUGGCCCCUGAAGCCAGGCUAUAGUCCAUGCUCAAUAGUGGAGAAGUCAGCUUCACUGUGAAACUGAGACAUGAUGCAGUAAAUAACCAGUGGCCAAGUUACCUGCCACCUUCAGUUUGGAAGCAUUAAAGCCGAAGCCCUUUCAAGGAAGCGGGUGUUACUUUCCUUACUAAAGAUUUAGAACACUAGCCAAAGAAAUCCAGGUUCACUUUCUCCUGAGUGUGUUGUCUCUAUUUCAUGGACCCAUGGCCCUUGCUUAACUUCAUUCAUCCCAAAAUAAAGUUUAAAUAAGAGGAAGAGUGCUGUGCUUUCUCACGCCAAUCGGACUGUAUUUCAGAUUCAGAAGCUAUGAAGUCUGGAAAACAAUACAUUUCCAAAUGAAAAAAAAACUGUUGACUUAAAUGAAAAAAGUUGACUUAAAAAAAAAAAAUCAGUAAAUGUAUGCACUUCUCACUAAUCUUAAACUCUGCAGAAGGUGUUUGACGAGCAGAUGAAAACCACAGCUUGCAUGAACAAAAUCAUUUCUAGUUUCAGAAAUAAUAACAGCAUUGAAUUUACAGCUGUAACUCCAUUGAGCUCGCAUUAAGUUUUGAUGUCUGAACAUCUGACAGAACUGACAUAAUGAGCACUGCAAGGAUAUCAGACAAGUUGAAAUGAAGACAGACAAAAAUAUUUUUUAAUAUAAAAAUGGUCUUUAUUUCUUCAAUACAAGGUAAACUACUAUUGCAGUUUAAGACCAACACAAAAGUUGGACAGCAAAUUGCUUAACAGUCUCCUAAAGGCUGAAAAAAAGGAACCCAUGAAAGCUAAAAGUUAUGCAAUAUUUCAAGUAUAACAUCUAAAAAUGAUGAAACGAUCCCUAAAGGCAGAGAUUAACUAAGCACUUCUGCUGAAAAUGUAUUAAAAUCCGCAGUUGCUAGGAUACCAUCUUACCUUGCUGAGAAAUACAGGUCUCCGGCAACGCAAUAUUCAGCAGACUCUUUGGCCUGCUUGAAUCUGGAAACUGCUUACUAUAUACAUGUAUAAAAUCCUUUGGAGUUGGGCAUUCUGAGAGACAUCCAUUUCCUUACAUUUUGCAGUGCAACUCUGCAUUCCAACUCAGACAAGUUCCCAUGCUGUAUUUCAAAGCCAUUUCUUGAAUUUUUUACCCAGACAUCCUUGUGCAAAAUGGGAAUGAGGAAAUGCAAUGAUACAGGAAGACAAUACAGCCUUAUGUUUAGAAAAUCAGCAGCGCUGGUAAUCUUCAUAAAAAUGUAACUGUUUACCAAAUAGGAAUGUAUUUCACUUGUAAAACACCUGGUCCUUUUACAUUACUUUUUUUUUUUUUUAAAAGGACACCUGCACUAAUUUGCAAUCACUUGCAUUUAUAAAAGCACACGCAUUCCUCAUUUUCUUACACUUGAAGAUCAACAGUGUCUCUUUCAUAAUGUAAUAAUAAUAUGCACAGUUUAAAAUAUUUUCUGUUACAAAAUACAGUACACAAGAGGGUGAGGCCAAAGACUAUUAAAUAUAUUCCAAAGUGUCAGCACUGGGGGUGUAAGAUUACAUUACAUGGUACGAAUAGACUGAUUUUUUUUUUUUUUACAACUGAAAUGCUCAAUUUCAUUGGGGGUAAAAGGUGAAUACUGUUUACUAUCUUCAAGAGACUUCCAUCAAAUCAGAAGCUUUAAAAGAUUUAAGCACAGAUAUAGGCCAUACCAGAGCCUACAUCUGCUGCAAUAACCGGGGCUAUAGAAAGGAUUCAGGAACUAACAAGUGCGUAAUUUACAAAUAGAGAUGCUUCGUCCAACAUGGAAAAAAAUAAAAUCCCAUGAGAACAUCCAACUGAGAAACUUCUCUGUUUCUUAGCAACUCAUCUUCUACAGCUAAGAUGGUUUGAGAAGUACCCAGCAGGUGAGAUGUGUUCCAGGAGGUGGCUGUGUGGCAGCGCGUGGGGACACGACACAAAGCACCCCAGCCCUGUCUGCAACACUCACUGCAGGGCAGUGCUGUGAGCAGCUGCAACGGGCAUCACUUCUGCAUAAACACUGUGACUCAUUGGCACGCUGCAACUGUGUUUAAAACCUAUACGCUCCAUUCCCACAAUAACUUAAAUCCUAAACAAAUCCAUGCAGCUUGUUUCCUAUGCCAAAAUAUUUUAGAAAGUAUUCAUUCUUCUUUAAGAAUAUCAUGUGGAUCUGCACUUCCCUGGGAUCUUGAGUGAUUUAUACCUCGGUGCAGAAGCAAUUUAGUGUCCUGGAUCUCGGGAAGGCAGCAGCCAAACGUGCACGUUUUACAUUUGAACCCACGUGACAACCCACCUUACUGAGCACUGCCCUAUGAAAUUUAAGGCUGCAUCCUUACAACACAAAAACCAAUGACAGACUGCAUAUAAAAUUCUAUAAAUAAAAAUAGGAGUGAAGUCUGUUUGACCUGUACACACAGAGCAUAUAGAUUAAAAAAAAGGAAAAUCGGGAAUUACAUAUUUCUAUAAAUGCCAUAUAUUUUUUACUAGAAACACAGAUGACAAGUAUAUACAACAUGUAAAUUUGAAGUUAUCAACAUGUUAACUAGGAAAACAUUUACAAGCAUUUGAGUAUGCAACUAGAUCAUCAGGUAAAAAAGUCCCAUUAGAAAAAUCUAAGCCUCACCAGUUUCAAAGGAAAAAACCAGAUCGCUCACUACUUAGAAGGGAAAAAACAAAGCAGUAAAGCAUCAAGCUAGCCUAAACUUAAUAAGGUAUCUCGUGUAAGAACAACUAUCCAAGCUUUCAACCACACUAUAAAUAAAAACCUCAAGUUCUGACAAACAUUUCUCAUAAUGCAAUCAGAACCAAAGGCAUUGGCACAGAAAGCAAAAAGGGAAUGAAAGAAAAGGGCUGUACAAUUUCCAAAAUUGUAUGUUCUUCUUUUGAAGAAAUGUUUCUGACCUGUCAAAACAUACAGCCUAGUAGAAAUUUUACUAAGAAAAAAGGAAACCUUACUCACGAAAACAAAAACCAACCAAACAAAACAGAUAAAAAAAAACCUACUGCAAAAAAUUCUUCUGUCACUGAGAUGCCACCACCCCAACCACCACCUGCUGUGGGCUUUGUCUCCCAAAACAAAGGACACACAGCCUUAUCCAAUUUUCAACAUUGCUUAUAAAAACACUGUUCAGAAGAAAUAUCAAGUAUUUCCUCACAGACUGUUUUAUCCUUUCAUCGGAUCAAAAGGAGAUGAAAUACAACAGAGUGAAUAUCAAAGAAGGUGGCAGGAGCCACCAUGGCACCAUCAGCAGGCAGCGCAGCGCCCAACUGCCGCUUCCUGAGCGCACACACAGGAAGCCGUCAGUCACAUGUAAUAAACCAAAACCUGGUACAACUGUAUUACGGAUUCACUUAUACAUGAUGUGCAUCAGACAUAUUCCUUUUUGGUGUCUAUCAGGGUCUUUGGAUCUUUUUCUGUACAGAUUUCUUGUUUCAUUAAAAAAAAAACUCUAACAAAACUCACAGUAGCAAGAGCUCUAUCUAAACAGUGAUACAGUGUGCCUAUCAGCUCAAACUAAGUACUCAGAGAACAGGCAGAAAUAAGGGGCUUCAUGUGGGGAUCUCUUCUUCUAAGCCACAACACACUCAGUUUAACCUGUGUUGUUCUCUUCCUGCUUUUUUUUUCCCCUGCUAUUUCCAUUGCCAGCAACAGAAAUCUGCACAAGAAGCUAUGCUCUGUAGAAGAGCAAUGGUAUCCUUAUAUCUAUUUCAGUAUGGAAUAUCAAUUCCUGCAUAAAAUGCUUUUGAUUUUUUAUUUCGAGUUAUAAUAUAGCUCUGCAAUGGAACAUUACUUACCUGCUGCCUCUCCAGCAUGAGCUAUUCCCCAUGUAACAGCUACAGACAGGUUAUUCCUUCCUUAAACUUAUUACACACAGCAGUAAACAUUGUUUUGAAGUAAAAAAUAAAAUUACAACAGUAUUGUUUGUAACCAACACCUAUUCACAAAAAGCAGGAAAUGAGUCGUGACUCAUUAGAUACAACUUUCAGUUUACAAAAUUUUAAAAGGCAGCUUUCAUUUGGAAACAGGUUUAAACAAACAUUGUAAAUAUCUUCUCAGUAGCAAAUAGUUUGAUUAACACCAGCGACCCCACGCAUGAGGAUUUGAGGUACACAAUUUAAGGAAAAAAAGGGGAGGGGGUCUGAAGCUUGCAGCCCAGUCCAACAGCAUCAACCUGGCUGCAGAAAAUCCGGCCAAGGGUCGGUGAUAAAAAUAUGAGAGAUUUCAGACUUAAGCAAAGCUUCUGCAGUAGUACACGCUACUGGUCCCGACUCAGCAAAGCAUCAAAAUCGCUCACUCUGCACAAAUUAACUUAGAGCAUAUGUUUACAUUCCUUGAAAUGGGCAGAAUGUAAGCAUGUGCUCUGGAAAACCAAGUGGAUUGAAGUGCUUUCCUGAACAGGAGAACAGAUUUUAGAUCUGCUGCAAAACCUUUUGAGAAAGAAAAUCAGUAAAGAAAGAAACGAAGAGCUGUCUAAGAGUUGCUUCUUAAAGCCAUCUGAGGUCUUGAAACAGAACUUAAAGCACUAAGUGCAGCUAUGUGAAUCAGUGAAAACUAAGAAUAAAUCCGUUACACAAUGAUUUGCAACAGACAAAGAAUGAGCCUUUGUGCAAGGACUCCAGAAACAGUUUUUUUCCAAAUUAAAUGAAUCUUUCCAUUCAUUUGUGCUUACUGAAAUUUAAAACAAUUUCUUGUAACUGGAAUUCAGCUUCCACGCUAAGCUCCAGCAAACUGUUUUUAAGGAAAUUUACAAAACCUCAUUUGACGGAUUUAAUUAGCGCCGCUUUUUGCGAAGAUACUUCAAUAUUGCCCACAGUGGAACACGGACAUACAGGCGUACCUUCUCUUCUAUAUGCACGUUUGGAUAAACCCCAAAGCAUUAAAAAAGUAUCAAACCCAUAAAGUCUGAAAAAUGGAAACAUCUGCUUCCUCCUGUCACAUCUAAUAUACAGUUAUGUACAGACUGCUGCGGCCUCGGGGGCGGAGGGAAGGGAGAAACACAUAAGCACUAGUUCUAUAAAACUGUAAACAACUGCAGGAUUCUUCUUCUUUUUUUUUUUUAAAGCUAACCUUUGCAUCCCUCAAUAUGAAUGGUUUAAGACCAUGCAAACAGUUUAAUAUGAACAGCAGCGUCGACCAAUAUCAAGACCGUGUGAAAGAGCAUUUUCAGUGUGCUCCCAUCAGUGAUCUGGGAGCACCUUCCUCAAAGCAAGAGAACACAAAGAACUGCAGUUUUUACAGUUUUAUACGUCAGUGAGCAAGUUCACAAGCCACCCAGGUAAACACUGCUAGAAAGCAAAAUGGCAUUAGAGGUUUCUGUAACCACCUGUCUUCGUAUCAAAAUCAAACGUGUGAGAGCAACAUUAGUAGGUUCAACUCACUGAAUGCAAGAUUAGGUUGAGGCAUAUGCAAGAACUAUUGCGAUGUUUUUAAAGACAGCAUCAAUGUUUUCAUUGUAACAUUAUCUUUAAAUAUUGCUGAACACAAGACUUUCCCUGAGGUGUAAACAUCAAAUAACUUGAACAGCUUUACACAUCAGCCCCAUUAAACAGUUUAUUACAACACUACAUCUACUGUAAUCAAAGUGGUGCUGUGUACAGACAUUAUCAUAUGAACAUUUUAACAUGAACAAACUACUAUAAAAACAAGCAUUUACUUGACUUUUUCCAAUUGCUCGCACAUUAUAAUUGCCAAAUGUAUAUAACCAGUAAUGAAGUUGCAAAAACUAUAAGGUUUAAAUCACACAGGUUUCCCUCAAAUAAAACAGUUAAGCAACAUAAAAAAAGUAAAAGAGCUACUGGUUACCAUGUAUGCAGAUUUGCUUUAUUCAGAUCUAUUCCUGUUCAUUUUAUCCAUGAAUCCUUACAGGCUCAGUUCAAUCACAUGAAGCAAACUGCCGGACAAGCAUCUUUCCUUGAAGAACGUAUCUUGUCUUGUACGCUGCUCCUCUUCCUUCAGCUGUAAUGUGUCAAAAUUUGUGAUGUAGAUUUUGCUAGUCCCCAUAAUACACAGAAAAUUGUUGCCUUAUCUAUACAUACACAAGUCGUGCAUCUACUUCACCAUAUGUAAACUAACACAAGCUAACAGGAGCAGUAGCUACUUGUUUGUGCAACUGCUUUAGGAUAUGGUAAUUAAAACCAAUUGUACAACAAAAUUGAAAGAAUGUGAAUCUAACAUUCGGAAGUAUCCGGUGAUAAAGUAGAAAUAGCUACUGUUCCUGUGACUGAUGGAAACAUUUAUAAAGAGCAUUUUCUAAAGUAUGAAUUCUGAAAGAAUAAACCAACAAGCAUUUAAUGUAAUUUUGCCCACAGCUAGAUUUUUACAUUUUUACCUGCUCACUUACAGAAGAUUUAAACUGAUUUAAAUUUGACAUUUAAGUAAUGCACUGAUUGUAUCAUGAAGUGGGAGGCUCACAGCCCAGUAACAUUUAAGAGCGCACAGAAUUUGAUAGAGGCACUUCCAAAUUUCCAGCCUAGUGGCAAGCAGGAUGACUUGACAUCUAAACAUACACACUCACAGUUUGAUCGCACAAACCCACUCUUCAAAUAAUACAAUACAGACCUGCAGGUCUCCUCCUGCCCUAGGAAAAAACCCAAGCCCCUACUGCCUACUCCCAUCUAUUUAGGCAAUGAGGAACCACGCCAUUCAAAGUGAAUUACCGUAAGAGUUCACAGAAUACUUGGGACGGUAUAAUUCCAUACACUGGAUGUCAGUUGAAUUCCAUUACAAAACAAUUGACUAUCUUCAUUUCAUUAAUAAUUCACAAUUUCAACAUUCAGUAACUUCAAAAUAAUUUAAAUCAAGUUCUUUAAAAACCCAACACAUUUGAUUGUUCGUUUGAAAAACAGACAUUUAGAGGAGCAAUUUCCUGAACGUAUACCAGUACACAGCUGUCAAAUAUUCUUUUGCUAUUAUAAUUGCAAAGCAGUUGGAAAAACAAAAUAUUCCAUGUUUGUACAAGCAAUUGACACAUCUGUUCUUCCCUUCCUCAACAUGAUCAUGAAUGGCAAUGUUAAAAAGAAGAACGUAAAACCCAAGCAGCUUAGGCUGUUUACCCUCCAGUAUUCGGGUCAACUGAUCAAGUAUUCGGGCAAGGCUGAAGCAGCGGCUGGAAUUUCUUUUAUUUGCAGCCUUUGUUCUCAAGUCAUCAACCAGUAAAUACUCUGGAGAAAGUUCCCUCCCCAGAGGCCAAAGUUUCUGUAGAUGUUACACAUUUUUCAAGUGAACUUUUCAGAGGCUCAGUGACAAGGCACCGCACCCACAGGCGGACACAUUCAGAAGCAUGGGCUACAUCAGCACAAAUGGAUGGGAGAAUUUUGGGUUUUAGUGGACAAAAGGUAUGACAGCUGUGAGACUGUAUGUCAGAAUUUGCUGCUCUGGUGAUACAAUUGCUGCGGCAAGAGUUAUGGAUCUUGAGCACUUCUAUGGCAACAGUUAACAGAUCCAAAGCACCAUGUGUAGGAUCGAUAAUACUAGCAGAGAAAGCUUCUGUUCCUGAGAAUAAUUUGCUAGAUUUGUUAGGUGACUUAUGCAACUACAGGAGCUUUCAAGAAAGCACAAUAAACAGUAUUUACAAUUAAUGCUUUCCAGCAGGGAUCCUAAGAUGGUCAACACCACUCUAAAACUUUUAAUUUUUAUAUUUUUAAUUUUAAAACCACAUGGCCAACUAAAAUCCAAAGGGGUGCUAAUUUUGAUUCCGAAUAUUCUGCCAGUAUAUCCUGGCAAAAAUCAGAAACCUUUGCGGUUCCAAAAGGAAAAAAUAUAAGUAUGGAUUAUACCUUCACUCUCAGCCUUUUUCAGUAUUCUACAAGUAGAAUAUCGAAGUAAGAAACACUUUGGGGAGAAAAUAAAGAUUAAAAUCUCUAGUCAACCCUUUGUUGUAAUGCAGUUUUCCACCUGUCUCAAGUUAAUACCAGCUAUCUGUCCCAAGCACGUGCCAGGUUUGUACAAUUUAACAUCAUACAGCAAUCAGUUUCUCAGCAUUUCCACUAAUGAUACCCAAGGAGCAGACUUAUCUGUUGAAUAGUUUGUUGUGGUUUAAAAGCUAAGGAGCAUUUCACAAAUGAAAUCCCAGAGCUUAAGGGAUCCAACAUUUUUAUGUUUAUGCAAAAUGCAACUUAAGCAUUGUUUUUCACACCCAAAGACACUCUUACACCAAAACCCAAGAGAUUUCUUAUAUAUAUGUAUAUAUAUAUAUAUAAGUAUCUCACAGUAACAACUAUUUUUGCCUUUAAUUCCAAUCAUCCAAGCAAGCAUAUGAAAGUUUUAAACAGCUUUUAGAAGUGAGAAAAUUCUACAGUAAUUUAAAGCCUUAUGUGCAUACAUCUGUCAGUUUAUAAUAGUGAUUUAUCAGAUAGUUUCAGAGACUGAAUUUCAAUCUCACAAAACGUUCACAUUUGAGUAAAAUGCAUGAUACAUAUUUGUCAUCAUAUUUUGAUAGCUCCUAAGAAUGAAUGUGGUUCUCAUUUAUUUUAUUCUAUACAUAGGGGAAAAAAAUACACAAGAGCAAAAAUUCCAUUAAAAAAAGUUAAUUUUAACUUAGACUAGGUUCCAGACUGUCAGAAACCUUCAAAUAUUGUUGUUUAGCUACAACAGUACAGUGAGAAUUAAAGAAUUUCAAGCUUGACGCUGUAUUUGUCAUUCUGCAUGUCAAUUGAGAUACACUUCAGUCUUUGCCCUUCAUACACGUACAAAUUACCUACUCUACCAUCACUAGCAGCUAUUCCAUUUGUUGCAUUUUUCCCCCCUACUCUUAGUGUACUUACCUGAUAUCUUUGACUUAAUGUUGCUCUUAAAUGAAACACUAAGACUGAACAAUUUCAUAUGAACAGAAAAAGAACACUCCCAAACAGUUUGUUUCAUUGCACGCUUCUCCUACUAUCCCAGCCUGUCUAUUCACCAGAGAUAGAUGAUGUGUAGAGGUGUGUUCAGAAAACCAGCUUUUUAGUUUACAAAUUCAAAUACUAUGAGGUUGGAAAGCACCUUUCACAUUAAUAUAUGAGGAAGACACAAAAGGUAGAUCAGGCUGCCACAGGAAAACAUAAAAUGAAAAUCGUUCUCUCUCUCUUAUUGUUUGAAAAAGGAAAUCUUAGUUCUCAAACCACAAUGAGCAAAACAAAAAAGUGUUUGUUCUCUGGAGAACAUUGUACAAAACCCAUGUUUUCAGUGCAAGUAAUUUCUUAGUUUCAAAUGCUGUAAUUCCUUAUAGACAAAUUUCUUAUGGAACUUCCAUACUGCUCAAAUUUGCCAGAACUAGUGAUUUCACAAAGCAAGGGGAAAAAGCACAGGCCACGAGGAACAGAAAAAAUGUGUGUCUUAAGACACUUCAAAAGGCAGUAAAAUUACAGCAACAUUCAUGAAAAGAAGUAAUAAGACUUUCAGUUUGUUUGGUUUUCAAACCAUCUUAUCACCCUUAAGAAAAUGAAAUUACUAAACAUUAAGAAACAAAACAUAUGCUUCUGUAAAGCACCGGAAUAGCUAUCAAACAGCCUUGAGGAGGCACACAGAACAAUGGCAUCGUUUGUCUCUUACACUCUUAAGGUGGAUUUCAGCUACUGAAACAGAUGCACAGUACAUGAUUUCUGUGGUAAAUGCUAGAAACACAAAAAAUGCCAACCCCACAUACAUUAUUGCUCAGAAAUACACAUAAAAAGAGUAGGUAAAUAAUGUUCAUUACAGCUCUAUACUAGUAAGAUCUGGAACCAUUCUAGACAUGAAUAUGCAUAUCUAGGGUCUUGGACAAUGCUCCUACACAAUUCACUUGAAUUUCCUUAUUAUUAAAGCUUAUUAUUGAAAUAAUUCACAAAAAUAAGCAUCCUCCUUUUAAUUUUCUUAAAAGGCUAACAUCAUACUUCACUUGGUGCUGAAGCAUUUGCUAACACACUCUUCCAGAAGAGUCCCUGCUUACGCAGGCAAAAAUAUAAUGCAUCUUUUAAAACUAUCAAGUACCAUUUCCCCUCCUACUGGCAUAAAAAAAAAAAUACAACCAUAUUAGUUCUUAAACCACUCCAAAUCUGAAACUAUUUCAGAUACCUGAGAUCAGUUACUGAAGAAGCAGACCAGCCUCAGCCUCAGAAGUGCAUCAGUAUGCAUUUGUACAAAUGAUUUUGCUUACAGUGGUUUGAGAAUAGAAAAAAAAAAAAAAAAAA